RNAcentral lists this long non-coding RNA (1827 nucleotides) under Sus scrofa (pig). RNAcentral's name for it is "lncRNA (ENSSSCG00050043232.1)". The record is from RNAcentral. Lineage: Eukaryota; Metazoa; Chordata; Mammalia; Artiodactyla; Suidae.
UUUUUUUAAUGUAGUCCUGGCCUUCCAUUUCCACAACUCCUUUGGACAAGCCUUCUCUUCAGCAUCAGCUCACAGCCUCAUCAACAAUCUCACUUCUGGCCCCUUCAGUCCUAAGUUCCCCAUCGUUGCUAGGCUCUUAGUGUCUCACAGACCCUUGCUUUGUCUCCUUGAUCAAACCUUCACUAACAUCUCCUCAUUACGACCAUCUGUUGUGUGUGUGUGUGUGUGUGUGUAUGUGCAUGUGUGAGCAAACUUAAUUUCAUGGACAUAUCAAUAUACACAGCACUGCAUCCAAUAAUUGCAGAAUACAUAUUCUUUUGAGGACCAAGUAGUUUUUACCAAACUUGAACAUAUAAUGAGCUAUAAAGCAAUCCUUGACAAAGUUCAAACGAUUGAAAUAACAGUAUGUGUUUUUGUGACCACAAAGCAGUUAUGCCAGAAAUCAAUAACGAAAAGAUAACUAGGAAAAAAAUCCCCUUUUUUAUGUAUAUCACAUUGCAUCUUUCGUUAUGUUAUCCUGGAAACAAACAACCUCACACUCUCCUUGACUUAUGACACAUUUAUUUCUUAAUUUUUUAAAGAUUUUUAUUUUUUCCAUUAUAGUUGAUAUACAGUGUUCUAUCAAUUUCCACUGUACAGAAAAAAAUUGACAGAACACUCUAAACCAACUAAAAUGGAAAAAAAUAAAAAUCAUUAAAAUUUUUUUUUAUUUUUUUAAAAAGUAAAUUAUACAACUGAGAAUGUGACAUGUAGGCGUACACAGAUGAUGGGAGUAGCUAACACUUCCUGGAAGACAUGAAGGGAGAUUUCAGGGAGAGUGACACUGGAGUUGGGUUUAAAGAAUGAAUAGGUUGGUGGGAAUGUAAGUUAGUGCAGCCACUAUGGAAAACGGUAUAGAGGUUCCUCACAAAACUAAAAACAUAAUUACUAUAUUAUUCAGCAGUCCCACUCUUGGGCAUAUAUCCAGAGAAAACUGGUAUUAGAAAAGAUACAUACACCUUUAUGUCCAUUGCAGCACUAUUUACAAUAACUAAGACAUAGAAAUAAGCUAUUGUUCUAUCCACAGAUGAAUGGAUUUAAAAAAUGUGGUACAUAUAUACAAUGGACUAUUACUCAGCCAUAAAAGAGCAUGAAAUAACGCCCUUUGCAGCAAUGUGGAUAGACCUAGAGAUUAUCAUACUAAGUGAAAUAAGUCAGACAGACAAAGACAGAUAUCGCAUGAUACUGUUUUUUUGUUGUUUUUUCUUUGUUUUUGUUUUUGUCUUUUUGCCAUUUCUUGGGCUGUUCCCUCAGCAUAUGGAGGUUCCCAGGCUAGGGGUCCAAUGGGAGCUAUAGCUGCCAGCCUACACCAGAGCCACAGCAAUGCGGGAUCCAAGCCACAUCUGCAACCUACACCACAGUUCACGGCAACGCCAGAUCCUUAACCCACUGAGCGAGGCCAGGGAUCGAACCCCACAACCUCAUGGUUCCUAGUCGGAUUCGUUAACCACUGCGCCACGACAGGAACUCCACGCAUAAUAUUGUUUAUAAGUGGAAUCUAAAAAAAUGAUACAAAUCAACUUAUCUACAAAACAGAAAUCGUCUCACAGACAUAGCAAAAAAUCUUAUGGUUACCAAAGGGGAAGAGAUUGGGAAGAAGUAAAUUAGGAGUCUGCAAUUAACAUAUACACGCCACUAUAUAUAAACUAAAUAACCAACAAGGACCUACUAUAUAGCACAGGGAACUACACUGAAUAUUUUGUAAUAGCCUAUAAGGGAAAAUAAUUUUAAAAAGAAUAUGUGUGUGUGUGAGAGAGAGAGAGAAAGACUGAAUCACUGUACUGUACA